Molecule: unclassified non-coding RNA, 204 nt
Filed under: Hevea brasiliensis (rubber tree)
Lineage: Eukaryota; Viridiplantae; Streptophyta; Magnoliopsida; Malpighiales; Euphorbiaceae
Source: RNAcentral
GCCAGGACUGAGAACAAGAUGCAUUCUAGGAAGCCGGCUUUUAGCAAUGUUGCUAAUACAGGAGGCCCUUCACGUGAUCGGGCAAUAUAUGUUAUGUCAUAUCUUAGAGGUCAGCAUGUGGAAGUCUAUGCUAAAAAUGGAUCUAUAAUAACUGGAAUAUUUUAUGGAACCGACGCUGACAAAACUUUUGGAAUUCUUCUGAAG